Molecule: ribosomal RNA, 793 nt
Filed under: uncultured archaeon
Lineage: Archaea
Description: bacterial SSU rRNA
Rfam family: Archaeal small subunit ribosomal RNA
Source: RNAcentral
ACGGCUCAGUAACACGUGGACAACCUGCCCUUAGGUUGGGUAUAAACCCGGGAAACUGGGUAUAAUACCCGAUAGGUCUCGAUUGCUGGAAUGCAUCGAGAUUUAAAGCUCCGGCGCCUAAGGAUGGGUCUGCGGCCUAUCAGGUAGUAGUGGGUGUAGCGUACCUACUAGCCUACGACGGGUACGGGUUGUGAGAGCAAGAACCCGGAGAUGGAUUCUGAGACACGAAUCCAGGCCCUACGGGGUGCAGCAGGCGCGAAAACUUUACAAUGCUGGCAACAGCGAUAAGGGAACCUCGAGUGCCAGGUUACAAAUCUGGCUGUCGAGAUGCCUAAAAAGCAUUUCAUAGCAAGGGCCGGGCAAGACCGGUGCCAGCCGCCGCGGUAACACCGGCGGCUCGAGUGGUAACCGUUAUUAUUGGGUCUAAAGGGUCUGUAGCCGGCCGGAUAAGUCUCUUGAGAAAUCUGGCAGCUUAACUGUCAGGCUUUCAGGAGAUACUGUCUGGCUCGAGGCCGGGAGAGGUGAGAGGUACUUCAGGGGUAGGGGUGAAAUCUUGUAAUCCUUGAAGGACCACCAGUGGCGAAGGCGUCUCACCAGAACGGACCUGACGGCAAGGGACGAAAGCUAGGGGCACGAACCGGAUUAGAUACCCGGGUAGUCCUAGCCGUAAACGAUACUCGCUAGGUGUCGGCCACGGUGCGACCGUUGUCGGUGCCGUAGGGAAGCCGUGAAGCGAGCCACCUGGGAAGUACGGCCGCAAGGCUGAAACUUAAAGGAAUUGGCGGGGGAGCAC